UAUACUUUUCACAUACAGCAACAUAGUCAGAAAAUUAUUAUGACCAUGUUUCAGGUUUCAUAGUAAGCCUUUUUUGGGGAGAAAUGAAUUAUUGCAGGCCCAAGAGCUAUGUGGCUGCUGAAAGACUACCAAUCUGUGACGGCCCCUCCCUCCAGAUGAGUGCUAUCAAAAACAUGCCUCAAUCACUGUGCAUUUGGUUCACAGUAAGCAUGGAACAUGAAAACUACUGUUUGCAACAGGUAUGGAGUGUCUUUGAUCAAAGUUUGCAUGGAUAAUCUGGAAGAAUGAUUGUGCUUUUUCUACUUACAAUCUCUUGUAUAUUUUAUUGAAUAAAAAAAUAAUACAUUUACA
Molecule: long non-coding RNA, 351 nt
Filed under: Coturnix japonica (Japanese quail)
Lineage: Eukaryota; Metazoa; Chordata; Aves; Galliformes; Phasianidae
Description: lncRNA (ENSCJPG00005009928.1)
Source: RNAcentral